Molecule: ribosomal RNA, 465 nt
Filed under: uncultured bacterium
Lineage: Bacteria
Description: partial 16S ribosomal RNA
Rfam family: Bacterial small subunit ribosomal RNA
Source: RNAcentral
CUACGGGAUGCAGCAGUGGGGAAUAUUGGACAGUGGGGGAAACCCUGAUCCAGCAAUGCCGCGUGUGUGAAGAAGGCCUGCGGGUUGUAAAGCACUUUCGGUUGGGAGGACUGCUUCUAGCACUAAUAUUGUUGGAAGUUGACGUUACCUUCAGAAGAAGCACCGGCUAACUCCGUGCCAGCAGCCGCGGUAAUGCGGAGGGUGCAAGCGUUAAUCGGAAUUACUGGGCGUAAAGCGCGCGUAGGCGGCUAGAUCAGUCGGGUGUGAAAGCCCCGGGCUUAACCUGGGAACUGCAUCCGAUACUGUCUAGCUUGAGUACAGGAGAGGAGAGUGGAAUUCCACAUGUAGCGGUGAAAUGCGUAGAUAUGUGGAGGAACACCAAUGGCGAAGGCAGCUCUCUGGCCUGAUACUGACGCUGAGGUGCGAAAGCGUGGGGAGCAAACAGGAUUAGAUACCCGAGUAGUC